GCGCGGUGGGGGGGGGGCGCCGCCUGCUGUCACUGGGGGCUGGGAAGUAGCUGCUUCGCGGUUUCUGGAUUUAAAGAAAUGUUCAGAAUACGAGGAAUAAAGCUUGCUUUUUGCAUUUUCAUUUAUUUAUUUUGUUUUCAUUUGUAAUAAUAAUGAUUUUUUUCUUUAUUGUGAUGUUUUAUUAUUGCUCGUUUUAUUACUUUUGUUUGGCUUGUUUUCUUUACUAGAUAUGUCAUGUUAAUUCGGUAAGGGUUGUGGGACUGGGGCUGAAACACCAGUUGUGAGAGCAGUGGGGACAUAAAACCCCAGGGUGUGGAAUAAUGAUUUUGGCAUGAGUCAGGCCCAAAACAAUGUGGAGGGGUGGAAAUGCUGAGGCUAGAUAAAUGCCAUGGGAGGAAGGCAUGGAGCUGCAGCACAGGGCCUGCAGGUUAUGCCUGGGGGUUCCCAGCCCCUGCCCUGUGGUACCAACGAGGGGCUGAGGGUGUGGGGGCUCAGAGGGUUCUAGGGCCCAAGAACCAGCCCAAGAGUGCCUUUUGGGAUGGGGGGGCAGGAGUCCAGUGGCUGUUCCCAGCCCCCGGAGCUGCCUGAGGGGAGGUGAGGGGGCCUUUGUGCAGGUGCUGGGCUGAGAGCCAGGGUGAGGGGGAGGGUGGAUGUUGAGCUUCAGGCUUCCAGUGUCCCCAGAGUUGGGAUGCCACUUAGGGCUGGGUGGGUGGAUGGGAGAGCUUCUAGAGAUACUGAAAUUGUAAUGAUGGCAGUAACUGAUUUGUGGCCUUAUCAACAGCCCCAAGGUGCAGUGAGAAGCAUGAGCAGCUUUUAGCUGCAGCCAGUAGGAAGCUGAGGAGCUGGAGCUGAGGCAGCAGAGCUGGAGGAGACAGAAAUAUGGGAAAAGUUAGUGCACCUAGCCUGUAAAUGUGAAAAAAAAAUCAACUUUUAAGGCUGUUGCAGUUACUUGUUUAUUUUGCAUAAUUAGCGGGAGUAAUGGUGUAGCGAGGAUUCACCUCCUCACAUGAAAAUAUUAAAGGAAUUUUGUUGACAA
This is a long non-coding RNA of Melospiza melodia melodia, 1036 nucleotides long. RefSeq lists it as uncharacterized. The transcript has 2 exons. NCBI's taxonomy places the organism in Eukaryota, Metazoa, Chordata, Aves, Passeriformes, Passerellidae. The record is from RefSeq and is a predicted model, not a curated record.